ACAGACUUUGUGAAGGAUUCACCAACCUUUAUAGCAUGAAGGGAGGGAGCUACCAUGUCUGGGCAAUUUAUCUAUGAGAAGACUUUCUCUAAUGUGCUCUUCUACCCUCUGCCUGUUUUAGUAGAUGCUCAGGAAAUGAAGGAUUCUGUUAAAAGCCCAGACUACAUAGAAAGACUGGCACGUAAAUACAUGGUAACUUUUUUUCUAAUUGUUGCUUCUCUAUCUCCCUAUUAAAAUAAAAGUUAGAAAGUGUUAGUUGCUUUGUCAUUAGCCUGAUAGUGCAGCUAGCUGUGCUGGAAAAGAAUGCAUGAAGAACAGGUGUGAAUGAAUUAAUUCAAAUGGUGUCACCUGCAAAGAAACAAGGAGGGAGGAAGCUAUUCCACUUCUGUGCUACCACCUGGGGAAUAAGGGGGCUAUUUGUUCAUAAGGUUUCUGUAGCAAGAGCUUUAGAAAAAAUGAGCAUAUAGUUUUAGCCAUUUACCUGCUGUUACAUUUCUGAGGUGUGGGCCCACCCAAAGCAAAGAAGCAAAAAAACCUCAGUGCAAAUCAAAAAACGUUUUGUAAAGUUAUUUACAGACUUGGAGUAACUGUUUGUGGUAAAUGCAAGGGAUGUUCUGGAUAGCUUCCCAUUGUAUUUUUGGGGGGAGACAGGGGGAAGACUUCUAUUUUUCCCUUAUGUCUCACUUGCACAACCCAACCAGCACCACAAAUGUGGGAUAUUUGGAAGGACAAGCUGGCUUCAGAUGGGAAAGCUUUGGAGAAACACAGCAUCUACAGUUUGUACAAGAACUUCAGCUUCAACCCGAAGCUGUGGUAACUUCUGCUUUGAGUAGUGUUUCUUUCCCUUCCUCCUCUGCAGCAGAAGUGCAUAGUAGAGUCGAGUACGGAGUCUGAGUCUGAAUCCAGCACAGAGGUCAUGCCCAGCCCACUUGCUGGAGGACUCAAGAAAGCAAGGGACUCCAGGAGACUGCAAUUUUCAGAUCCUUAUGAUGGUGAUUCAGAAGAUGCAUCCAUUCACUCUGACUGUAGCUUGAAUUCUUUAAAUAGUGUAAAAGUUGCACCAUGGGUGAACAAUGCCCCAAAAGCAAUGGCCU
Molecule: long non-coding RNA, 1094 nt
Organism: Harpia harpyja (harpy eagle)
Lineage: Eukaryota; Metazoa; Chordata; Aves; Accipitriformes; Accipitridae
Exons: 3
Source: RefSeq, a predicted model, not a curated record